Pelobates cultripes (western spadefoot toad) is the source of this 75-nucleotide non-coding RNA. The record is from the annotation of a GenBank genome assembly. NCBI's taxonomy places the organism in Eukaryota, Metazoa, Chordata, Amphibia, Anura, Pelobatidae.
AUCAACGUUUCAGCUCCACUAGGGAGCUUUCAUCAGGACCUGAUGAAAGCUCCUUAGUGGAGCUGAAACGUUGAU